RNAcentral lists this ribosomal RNA (427 nucleotides) under uncultured bacterium. RNAcentral's name for it is "partial 16S ribosomal RNA". It matches the Rfam family "Bacterial small subunit ribosomal RNA", at positions 355 to 774 of the family's 1533-position model. The record is from RNAcentral.
UGGGGAAUAUUGCACAAUGGGCGCAAGCCUGAUGCAGCCAUGCCGCGUGUAUGAAGAAGGCCUUCGGGUUGUAAAGUACUUUCAGCGGGGAGGAAGGUGUUGUGGUUAAUAACCACAGCAAUUGACGUUACCCGCAGAAGAAGCACCGGCUAACUCCGUGCCAGCAGCCGCGGUAAUACGGAGGGGGCAAGCGUUAAUCGGAAUUACUGGGCGUAAAGCGCACGCAGGCGGUCUGUCAAGUCGGAUGUGAAAUCCCCGGGCUCAACCUGGGAACUGCAUUCGAAACUGGCAGGCUAGAGUCUUGUAGAGGGGGGUAGAAUUCCAGGUGUAGCGGUGAAAUGCGUAGAGAUCUGGAGGAAUACCGGUGGCGAAGGCGGCCCCCUGGACAAAGACUGACGCUCAGGUGCGAAAGCGUGGGGAGCAAACA